GGGCCUCUCGCGUCAGGAUAUGCCUAGGUGGGAUUAGCUAGUUGGUGAGGUAAGGGCUCACCAAGGCGACGAUCCCUAGCUGGUCUGAGAGGAUGAUCAGCCACACUGGAACUGAGACACGGUCCAGACUCCUACGGGAGGCAGCAGUGGGGAAUAUUGCACAAUGGGCGCAAGCCUGAUGCAGCCAUGCCGCGUGUGUGAAGAAGGCCUUCGGGUUGUAAAGCACUUUCAGUCGUGAGGAAGGUGGUUGCGUUAAUAGCGUAUUCAUUUGACGUUAGCGACAGAAGAAGCACCGGCUAACUCCGUGCCAGCAGCCGCGGUAAUACGGAGGGUGCGAGCGUUAAUCGGAAUUACUGGGCGUAAAGCGCAUGCAGGUGGUUUGUUAAGUCAGAUGUGAAAGCCCGGGGCUCAACCUCGGAAUAGCAUUUGAAACUGGCAGACUAGAGUACUGUAGAGGGGGGUAGAAUUUCAGGUGUAGCGGUGAAAUGCGUAGAGAUCUGAAGGAAUACCGGUGGCGAAGGCGGCCCCCUGGACAGAUACUGACACUCAGAUGCGAAAGCGUGGGGAGCAAACAGGAUUAGAUACCCUGGUAGUCCACGCCGUAAACGAUGUCUACUUGGAGGUUGUGGCCUUGAGCCGUGGCUUUCGGAGCUAACGCGUUAAGUAGACCGCCUGGGGAGUACGGUCGCAAGAUUAAAACUCAAAUGAAUUGACGGGGGCCCGCACAAGCGGUGGAGCAUGUGGUUUAAUUCGAUGCAACGCGAAGAACCUUACCUACUCUUGACAUCCAGAGAACUUUCCAGAGAUGGAUUGGUGCCUUCGGGAACUCUGAGACAGGUGCUGCAUGGCUGUCGUCAGCUCGUGUUGUGAAAUGUUGGGUUAAGUCCCGCAACGAGCGCAACCCUUAUCCUUGUUUGCCAGCGAGUAAUGUCGGGAACUCCAGGGAGACUGCCGGUGAUAAACCGGAGGAAGGUGGGGACGACGUCAAGUCAUCAUGGCCCUUACGAGUAGGGCUACACACGUGCUACAAUGGCGCAUACAGAGGGCGGCCAACUUGCGAAAGUGAGCGAAUCCCAAAAAGUGCGUCGUAAUCCGGAAUUGGAGUCUGCAACUCGACUCCAUGAAGUCGGAAUCGCUAGUAAUCGUGGAUCAGAAUGCCACGGUGAAUACGUUCCCGGGCCUUGUACACACCGCCCGUCACACCAUGGGGAGUGGGCUGCAAAAGAAGUAGGUAGUUUAACCUUCGGGGGGGACGCUUACCACUUUGUGGUUCAUGACUGGGGUGAAUC
Molecule: ribosomal RNA, 1289 nt
Filed under: Vibrio sp.
Lineage: Bacteria; Pseudomonadati; Pseudomonadota; Gammaproteobacteria; Vibrionales; Vibrionaceae
Description: bacterial SSU rRNA
Rfam family: Bacterial small subunit ribosomal RNA
Source: RNAcentral